AGCAGUCGCCGCGGGAAUACGGAGGGUGCAAGCGUUAUCCGGAUUUAUUGGGUUUAAAGGGUCCGUAGGCGGACUUAUAAGUCAGUGGUGAAAGCCUGUCGCUUAACGAUAGAACUGCCAUUGAUACUGUAAGUCUUGAGUAUAUUUGAGGUAGCUGGAAUAAGUAGUGUAGCGGUGAAAUGCAUAGAUAUUACUUAGAACACCAAUUGCGAAGGCAGGUUACCAAGAUAUAACUGACGCUGAGGGACGAAAGCGUGGGUAGCGAACAGGAUUAGAUACCCCUGUAGUCCCUGUCUCUUUACA
RNAcentral lists this ribosomal RNA (303 nucleotides) under uncultured bacterium. RNAcentral describes it as "partial 16S ribosomal RNA". It matches the Rfam family "Bacterial small subunit ribosomal RNA", at positions 507 to 808 of the family's 1533-position model. The record is from RNAcentral.